UCUUGGAGGGACUGAUUUGCAUCAUUUCCGUACUCGUCAUCCUGGAGAAACGUUUCAUCAUAGGGUAAAGGUGACCAGUCAGAAGGCCUUGGUAUUGAUUUGCAGUGACAUUUCCAUCUAAGAGGAUAUGUGGACCCACAACCAUGCCUGCAAAAUAAAUAAAUGCCCCCACAGAAGAACAAAGUCACCAAUGCUUUGUUUAAUUAGUCACCCUUCGGUGGAUACCAGGAUUGGAUACAGGCCUGCUUAUUGCGUUUCUAAAUCCGUGCUUGGAAACGCGAACAUAGACUCAGAUUAUAUUCCUGAAAUGACGUGAUGCACGCGAGGACACGUGGACGGGGUUUGUAUUGGAAGUUGAAACGUGCUGUUGAAAGCUGCAUGGGAAGUGUGCAGUGCAUGGUUCAACUUCCGGGAUAGGGAAAAGAUGUGAAGCUUAAAAGAAAGUCUAUAUAAAGAACCAUGUUCUGGUCUAAAGGCUGAGAAUAUAUAGAUGUAUCUGCAGCCUUCUUUGGAUUGAUCUAAUUGAAGACUUCUGGUUAACAGGUUGACUGAACUUGUAGACAAAAAGUGAUCAAUCUGAUGCUUCUUCAAUAAACCAUAAACUACAUGA
Molecule: long non-coding RNA, 610 nt
Organism: Ictalurus furcatus (blue catfish)
Lineage: Eukaryota; Metazoa; Chordata; Actinopteri; Siluriformes; Ictaluridae
Exons: 5
Source: RefSeq, a predicted model, not a curated record